AUGAACGCUGGCGGCGUGCCUAAUACGUGCAAGUCGAGCGAACGGACGAGAAGCUUGCUUCUCUGAUGUUAGCGGCGGACGGGUGAGUAACACGUGGAUAACCUACCUAUAAGACUGGGAUAACUUCGGGAAACCGAACUAAUACCGGAUGAUAUUUUGAACCGCAUGGUUCAAAAGUGAAAGACGGUCUUGCUGUCACUUAUAGAUGGAUCCGCGCUGCAUUAGCUAGUUGGUAAGGUAACGGCUUACCAAGGCAACGAUGCAUAGCCGACCUGAGAGGGUGAUCGGCCACACUGGAACUGAGACACGGUCCAGACUCCUACGGGAGGCAGCAGUAGGGAAUCUUCCGCAAUGGGCGAAAGCCUGACGGAGCAACGCCGCGUGAGUGAUGAAGGUCUUCGGAUCGUAAAACUCUGUUAUUAGGGAAGAACAUAUGUGUAAGUAACUGUGCACAUCUUGACGGUACCUAAUCAGAAAGCCACGGCUAACUACGUG
Molecule: ribosomal RNA, 495 nt
Filed under: uncultured bacterium
Lineage: Bacteria
Description: partial 16S ribosomal RNA
Rfam family: Bacterial small subunit ribosomal RNA
Source: RNAcentral